AUACGGAGGAUCCGAGCGUUAUCUGGAUUUAUUGGGUUUAAAGGGAGCGUAGGUGGAUUGUUAAGUCAGUUGUGAAAGUUUGCGGCUCAACCGUAAAAUUGCAGUUGAAACUGGCAGUCUUGAGUACAGUAGAGGUGGGCGGAAUUCGUGGUGUAGCGGUGAAAUGCUUAGAUAUCACGAAGAACUCCGAUUGCGAAGGCAGCUCACUAGACUGUUACUGACACUGAUGCUCGAAAGUGUGGGUAUCAAACAGGAUUAGAUACCCUGGUAGUCCACACAGUAAACGAUGAAUACUCGCUGUUUGCGAUAUACAGUAAGCGGCCAAGCGAAAGCAUUAAGUAUUCCACCUGGGGAGUACGCCGGCAACGGUGAAACUCAAAUGAAUUGACGGGG
This 393-nucleotide ribosomal RNA is filed under the name uncultured bacterium. Its description in RNAcentral is "partial 16S ribosomal RNA". It matches the Rfam family "Bacterial small subunit ribosomal RNA", at positions 523 to 918 of the family's 1533-position model. The record is from RNAcentral.